GACGAACGCUGGCGGCGUGCUUAACACAUGCAAGUCGAACGGAAAGGCCCUGCUUUUGUGGGGUGCUCGAGUGGCGAACGGGUGAGUAACACGUGAGUAACCUGCCCUUGACUUUGGGAUAACUUCAGGAAACUGGGGCUAAUACCGGAUAGGAGCUCCUGCUGCAUGGUGGGGGUUGGAAAGUUUCGGCGGUUGGGGAUGGACUCGCGGCUUAUCGGCUUGUUGGUGGGGUAGUGGCUUACCAAGGGUUUGACGGGUAGCCGGCCUGAGAGGGUGACCGGCCACCAUGGGACUGAGAUACGGCCCAGACUCCUACGGGAGGCAGCAGUGGGGAAUAUUGCACAAUGGGCGGAAGCCUGAGGCAGCAACGCCGCGUGCGGGAUGACGGCCUUCGGGUUGUAAACCGCUUUCGCCUGUGACGAAGCGUGAGUGACGGUAAUGGGUAAAGAAGCACCGGCUAACUACGUG
This 468-nucleotide ribosomal RNA is filed under the name uncultured bacterium. Its description in RNAcentral is "partial 16S ribosomal RNA". It matches the Rfam family "Bacterial small subunit ribosomal RNA", at positions 28 to 507 of the family's 1533-position model. The record is from RNAcentral.